This 460-nucleotide ribosomal RNA is filed under the name uncultured bacterium. RNAcentral's name for it is "partial 16S ribosomal RNA". It matches the Rfam family "Bacterial small subunit ribosomal RNA", at positions 338 to 795 of the family's 1533-position model. The record is from RNAcentral.
CCUACGGGAGUCAGCAGUGAGGAAUAUUGGUCAAUGGACGCAAGUCUGAACCAGCCAUGCCGCGUGCAGGAAGACGGCUCAAUGAGUUGUAAACUGCUUUUGUACGAGGGUAAACGCAGAUACGCGUAUCUGUCUGAAAGUAUCGUACGAAUAAGGAUCGGCUAACUCCGUGCCAGCAGCCGCGGUAAUACGGAGGAUUCAAGCGUUAUCCGGAUUUAUUGGGUUUAAAGGGUGCGUAGGCGGGCGGAUAAGUUAGCGGUUAAAUCCCGAGGCUCAACAUCGGAAUUGCCUCUGAUACUGUUCGGCUAGAGAGUAGUUGCAGUAGGCGGAAUGUGUGGUGUAGCGGUGAAAUGCUUAGAGAUCAUACAGAACACCGAUUGCGAAGGCAGCAUACCAGGCUACUUCUGACGUUGAGGCACGAAAGCGUGGGGAGCAAACAGGAUUAGAUACCCGAGUAGUC